UUUUGCGGGGGGGGGGGGGGGUUGGUGGGCAUUAAGAUUUCUAAAGUAUUCAUAUUGGGAUGUCUUUUUUUUUUUUUUAUACACAAAGACAAUUAUUUAAGACCUUUAUUUACAGGUGCUUGCUGUUUGCUGACUUUUUUGAAAAAAAUCAAGUUGUAAACUUUUAUUACAAAUUAAAAAUGAAGUGCUUAAAAAUCUCAACUUGACCAGAUAUGAAACAAUUUAAAAACCUUUAAAGGCGUAUUGAGAAAAACCAGGCUUUUUUAAAAAACACAUUUGUUAUUACCAAAAAGAGACGUCUUUAGGUAAAAAUAAUAAAAAACCCCAUGCUGCAUAGAUAAUGCAGAUAGUUCUAUUUAUCUGGUCAAUGGGCAAAAAGCAAGCACUUAAGGUCUUAUUGCUGGAAUUUCAUAUUUCUUCUUGUUGGAUGACUAAACCGGAUGAUGGUAGAGAUGGUAAGCCGGCAUUUACUCAGCCCUGCCCUGCUCAGCCUCGGGAGCGGACGAAUUCUCAGCUGGCGGAUCGGCUGCUUUUGUCUGUUUGCCAUCUUGUGGUUUAGGGUUUUCUGGGCGUCUGCGUCGAUAAUUGAAGUUGCGGCGGUACCGACGUUGAGGUGGCUGCUGACCUUGGGUCUCAUCUCCUUGAUUUUCUUUAUCUUCUUCAUUGCCGUCCUCUCUAGGCUGUCUUUGGCGAGGAGGGCCCUUGCAGAAUCGUGGUCUAUAUCCCCGAUACAUAUUCUGCCUCACUGGUCUACCUUGUUCUCCUGCACCCUGGUUGUCAGCACCCUCCAUCACUCCUUCCUGCCCAGGAGGGUUGUAAUACUGUGGUCGAGGCCCAUAGGGUCUCUGCAUGUAGUAAGAUGGGAAUCUUCGCCUGCGGUAGGGCCGGGGUUGUUGGGCCUGGCCUUGGGGAGCACUCUCCGAUCCCUCCUUCUUUUCCCCACUCUCACUAUUCUGGUAAUUUUGCUGGUAAUUGCAUGGAAGACCCCUAAGACGUGGAUAGCGUCUGUAAUGGUUAUGGUCGGCUGCAUAUUUACUGCCUUGAACUGGAACACCACCAGUACCUGUAACAUGUGCUGCCUCUGCACCCUUUUCUCUUUCAACAAGAAACUCCACAGUCUCUCCAUCUCCUACACUGCGAAGGUACUUCCUGGGGUUAUUCUUCUUUAUGGCAGUCUGGUGUACAAAUACAUCUUCCUUGUUGUCAUUACUGUUGAUGAAACCAUAUCCGUUCCUUACAUUGAACCAUUUUACUGUUCCCAAAACCUUCGUUGCGAUGACCUUCUUGUCCCCGCUGGCAGGCGCCGCCGAUGUGAGGCCGCCGGGGCCACUGCUCCCUGCGCCGCUGCCCGUAGUGCCGGGCUAGGUGUCCGCGGCGCGGUGGGCGGCUGCUGGGUGUCGGCCUCGCUGCUCAUGGUUGCGGUGAUGGUGACUGGGGCCGGCUGCGGCAACUGCGGCUCCUCCCGGGGUGUGAUGGUAACUAGGCCGGCGGCGGCGGUGGGGCUGCUCAGGGCUCUCUGGGGUCUGCUCUCCGCUCCCGCUACCUAUGGAACUCUGGGAUGUCUUAAGACUCUUUUCUUCCUUAAACUUGAAAAGGAUGCAACUGAAAAUU
This 1611-nucleotide long non-coding RNA is filed under the name Piliocolobus tephrosceles (Ugandan red Colobus). RNAcentral's name for it is "lncRNA (ENSPTEG00000037407.1)". The record is from RNAcentral. Lineage: Eukaryota; Metazoa; Chordata; Mammalia; Primates; Cercopithecidae.